UACAGAGGUGGCAAGCGUUGUUCGGAAUUACUGGGCGUAGAGGGCGCGUAGGCGGUGCUCUAAGUCCCGUGUGAAAUCCCCCGGCUCAACUGGGGAAUGGCACGGGAAACUGGAGUGCUUGAGGGUGGGAGAGGAAAGCGGAAUUCCUGGUGUAGCGGUGAAAUGCGUAGAUAUCAGGAGGAACACCUGCGGUGUAGACAGCUUUCUGGACCACUUCUGACGCUGAGACACGAAAGCGUGGGUAGCAAACAGG
Molecule: ribosomal RNA, 253 nt
Filed under: uncultured prokaryote
Description: partial 16S ribosomal RNA
Rfam family: Bacterial small subunit ribosomal RNA
Source: RNAcentral